Molecule: long non-coding RNA, 3754 nt
Organism: Canis lupus familiaris (dog)
Lineage: Eukaryota; Metazoa; Chordata; Mammalia; Carnivora; Canidae
Exons: 2
Source: RefSeq, a predicted model, not a curated record
CCACCUCAGCCGCGAGCCCGUGUGCUCUCCCGGGAGGCUCCUUGGCCGCCAGGUGCGUUCCCGCGGCGGGGCGGGCCCCUCACCGUAAGCGAAGCUCCAGCCGAAUUUGCCAAGUGAAUUCGGGAGACGUGGGCCCCGAGGUGGGAAAACGAGACGAAAGCGCGCGCCAAUCAAUCUUCACUGCUCAUAGAGGACACCUAUUUGGGUGUAACAAAACGACAUCCAGAGCUUAUCCAGAUGAGCAGAGAGCAACAGAAUUGCCUUCUGCUCCUUUGUUGAAGAGGAGAGAAAAUUCUUCAACCCGUAAGUGCUGAGAGAGCAUCAUACUAUUCUUUAUGGUAGAUUAAUUUCAGCACCACGAGUUCCUAGGAGUGCAGAGUCCAGGGCAAAUCAUACUUUUGUAUAGAGGUCAAAUCAAGUUCAAAGGGCGAGCUCUUGAGGGGAGCCGGAAGCCUCCAAAUACCCAACUGAAAUAGAGGCUGUGCAAAUGGGGCCUGCAGCCCCUGGGAACUUGCCUAGGUGACUGGGAUGAGAAUGGUUGUGGGCUCAUUUUAAGCCACUUCUUUCCUCCCUGAGGCUACUUCUCAGGGUCGUUCCUGACCACAAAAUUUAGGACAGAGAAUCACAAUCACCCCAAUACUUUGAUGUCAUAGGGACCGCCCUUGACCAGGAUCAGCUUCGUGGGCAUGCAAAGGGCCUCAGGCUUACGAAAGCCCUGCAUUUGGUUCAAUGCUCUACUUUCUCGGUCUUAAAAUUCUUUAUACUUCCUGAACAAGGUGCUUCACUUAUUUAUGCACGUAUAGACCUUGUGAACAAAGCCAUGAAGCAUUUUUAACACAAGGAAACCACCAGUGCCUCAUCUUAUUGCACUUUUACCAGUGAUAAAUGAGUCAAACGAAUUUAGGGCUGGAAACAAUUAGGCUGAGAUUAAAAUGAGCCCAAUUUUUAAUAGAAAUUAAAUUUUAAGUGCACUGUGUUAUUGCACUUCAGGGGUCCUUUUUUUUUUUUGUUUUUGUUUUUUUUUUUUUUUUUUGAUAUCUAUGGUUUCUUCUUUCUGCCUCACUGACCAGAAUAUUUUGAGAAUAGCAAAAUGUGGUUUGCUAGAAUUUCAAACCAAACACACAGAGUAACUACAUAGAGUUUACUAUAGGGUUUUUGAUAUUUUGUUGUUGUUCAAGUGAGAACACCUGGGUGCAAACCAAGGUUUUGGAUAAUAGUGUAUCUGUUCUACUGAGGAGGGCUGGUGCGAGGCCUACACACAAGUGUGAAGAUGGUGAGGCUCACCUCUGUACCUCCUCUCUCAACAUCCCUUUAGCCUGUUCUGUUUGUACUCCUUUCUGUUCAUCCCCAAAAUGGUUAGGUUUCUGGAAAACCUGCAUGUAAAUUCUUCUGCUCCCCCUGCCAACACGAUCUGACCCAAAAAGCGACAUCCCAUUUCUAUGUGGUUUGUUCUCAGUUGACUUUCAUGGUUAGAAAGCUAUCUGAUAAAUAACCGCUGUGAAAUUAUUUAGCUGGCACUGACCUAAGGUGUGGAUUCUCCUUAGGGUGCUUUGUGCUUUAAUAUCUGCAGGCCUUUGGUUGUACCUCGCAGGGAGCUGCCGUUGUGUCUGCUUGUGUAAUAGCUGCCACGAUGGCCACGUGUGGCUGGGAGGACAAGCCCUGUAACUAUUGCUUUAGUUCAGGCUGAACCUGAUGAGCUCAGUAGCUCAUCCAGACUAAUGAUUCAGACCUUGCCACCCUGUCCCACUUACAGCAGAUGCUAAUGUACAGAAAGAUGAUGUACUUGACAUAACCCCCAUGCUCCUUCCCCAGCCUUCUUGCUGACUUUGCUUCCUAGGUCACUGAGAAAAUAGAAGUAAUUACCAGAGAACUUUCACAAGCUCCCAGGGCAGCUCUCCUUUGCCAGCAGCUGCCCUCCCACGUACUUUCUGGCUGCGCUCCUUCCUAAUGAUUGAUUAUCCAUGUUCGGGUUUGAAGUCACUGGAUCCCAUCAUCACUUCCCUGCUCAAUGUCACCCCUCCAGCAAUUCACCUCUCUCUUCUGGAUCAUUCCCAUCAACGUGCACAUAUGCCAUUCUUUCUUUUAUCUUACAAACAAUAGGAAAAAGAACACAUCCUCUCUCUUGACCCCACUCCCUGCUCAGGCUCUUGUUCAUUUCUAUUUUCCCUUCACAUCAAAACUCCUUGAAAAGCUUACUUAUACUUGUCUUUCCAACGUCUUGCCUUUCAUUUCUCCUCAACCUACUUUGGUCAAGUGUUUGUUCCUCACGCCAUGAAAACUGUUCCUGUCAUGUUCACCAGUGACCUCCAUGCUGCUCAACCCCAUGGUGAAUUCUCAGAUUUCACAUCACCUGACCUGUCAGCCACAUUUGAGACAGUUCGUUGCUCACUUCCCCUUGAACACUUUUCGUCACCUGGCUUCCAGGACCUGGCGCUCCCAAUUUUCUUCCUACCUCACUAGCUGCUCCUUCUCUUUCCUUUGCUGACUCUUCCCCAUCUCCCUGUCCUCUUAACAAUGGAGUGCUCCAAGGAAAGUUCCUCCAACAAUUUUUCUUCUAAAUCUACACUUACUGCCUUGGCCAUCUCAUCUAGCCCCAUGGCUUUAAAUAUCACCUAUAGGUGACAUACUCUCAAAUCUAUCUAUAGCCCAGACCUUUCUCUUGAACUCUAGACUCAUCCAACUAUUUAUUCCACUUCAGUGUCUGGUAGGCAUCUCAUGCUUACUCUUGAUAGGUCCAUUCUUGAUCUUCCUUCCCCCUCAAUCUAUUCUCACUAGGCUGGCCAAUGUGAUUCUAUCAAAUCUAUUGGAUAGGGUGGAUCACACCACCCUUUUAUUUAAAACUCCCUAAUGCCUUCUGGUCACUCUCAGAAUAAAAGGCAAAGUCCUUACCAUGCCUUAUUACACUCCACCCAGUCAGCCCCAAGUCCUCUUUGCCUUCUUUCCCUAGCACUCAUUCUGCUGUAGCCACACUGCCUUCUAGCUGUUCCUACUCAUGCCUAAAGGCCUUCCCAUUUGCUCUUCUGCUUCCCCAGAUAGCUCAUUCCCCAGAUGUCUGCACGGAUUGUUCCUUUGCUUCCUUCGGAUCUCUGUUCAAACAUUACCUUCUCAUUCAGGCCUUCUUUGACCAUCCUAUUAAAAUUACAAUGCUCCUUCCUACCCACCUUCCCUAAUUUCUCUCUCUCUGUGACACUCUAACUCCAGGUUUUUCUGUUUUAUUUCAUGAUCUGUCUCUCUCACCCCAGAAUCUAAGUUCUGUGAGGGAUGGAAUCUGUUACCUGAUGUAUCAUGAGUGGUCAGGUCAGCACCUGGAGCCAUAGUAGGUGCUCAUUACAUAUUUGUUAAAUGCAUGAUGAUUUAUCUUUCCACCAAAGAACAUGGCCUGCACAUCCUCUCCAGAAAACCAGUUUUCCGAAGAUAGGGAUCAGAUUAGGGAUCUGUUAGUUCUUCUUUACAGUGUUGAAGGGACUGCUGUAAGGUACACUGCUGUGUUUGUGUGACGGGUAGAGCAUUUGCUACGAGCCCUCCCUGUUCGGUCCGACCAUUCACACUUGCCCUUUUGGCUAACCAUGUGAAACUGAAAUACUGUGCAACGCUUUUACUGUUUGUUCCCAGGUAUUCUUUUUACUCUGUAAUAGUAUGUAUUUUUGCCUUCCAUGAAAUGCCUUUUUUUUUGAAAUGCCUCUUUUUAAAUAUGUUAUUGUGAAGAUUAAGCUGGUAAGUUAUUUGUUGGCAAUAAAAUAGCCUUCAAGAUGGA